Molecule: ribosomal RNA, 443 nt
Filed under: uncultured bacterium
Lineage: Bacteria
Description: partial 16S ribosomal RNA
Rfam family: Bacterial small subunit ribosomal RNA
Source: RNAcentral
CCUACGGGAGGCAGCAGUGGGGAAUAUUGGGCAAUGGACGAAACUCUGACCCAGCAACGCCGCGUGAAUGAUGAAGGUCUUCGGAUUGUAAAGUUCUUUUCUAAGGGAAGAAGCAAGUGACGGUACCUUAGGAAUAAGCCACGGCUAACUACGUGCCAGCAGCCGCGGUAAUACGUAGGAGGCAAGCGUUAUCCGGAUUGACUGGGCGUAAAGGGCGCGUAGGUGGUUUGACAAGUUAGUGGCGUAACUCCGGGGCUCAACCUCGGCACUGCUACCGAAACUGUCGGACUUGAGUACAGGAGAGGCAGAUGGAAUUCCUAGUGUAGCGGUGAAAUGCGUAGAUAUUAGGAGGAACACCAGUGGCGAAGGCGGUUUGCUGGACUGUAACUGACACUGAGGCACGAAAGCGUGGGGAGCAAACAGGAUUAGAUACCCCAGUAGUC